GGGAAUGUAGCUCAGUGGUAGAGCUCUUGCCUGGCAUGCAUAUAAGGUCCGGGGUUCAAUCCCA
This 64-nucleotide transfer RNA is filed under the name Ictidomys tridecemlineatus (thirteen-lined ground squirrel). RNAcentral describes it as "Spermophilus tridecemlineatus (thirteen-lined ground squirrel) tRNA". It matches the Rfam family "tRNA". Rfam says of the family: Transfer RNA (tRNA) molecules are approximately 80 nucleotides in length. Their secondary structure includes four short double-helical elements and three loops (D, anti-codon, and T loops). The record is from Rfam by way of RNAcentral. Lineage: Eukaryota; Metazoa; Chordata; Mammalia; Rodentia; Sciuridae.